Molecule: ribosomal RNA, 499 nt
Filed under: uncultured bacterium
Lineage: Bacteria
Description: partial 16S ribosomal RNA
Rfam family: Bacterial small subunit ribosomal RNA
Source: RNAcentral
GACGAACGCUGGCGGCGUGCCUAAUACAUGCAAGUCGAGCGGACUUUCAAGAAGCUUGCUUUUUGAAAGUUAGCGGCGGACGGGUGAGUAACACGUGGGCAACCUGCCUGCAAGACGGGGAUAACUCCAGGAAACCGGGGCUAAUACCGGAUAAUAUCUUCCUUCGCAUGAAGGAAGGUUGAAAGGCGGCGCAAGCUGCCGCUUGCAGAUGGGCCCGCGGCGCAUUAGCUAGUUGGUGAGGUAACGGCUCACCAAGGCGACGAUGCGUAGCCGACCUGAGAGGGUGAUCGGCCACACUGGGACUGAGACACGGCCCAGACUCCUACGGGAGGCAGCAGUAGGGAAUCUUCCGCAAUGGACGAAAGUCUGACGGAGCAACGCCGCGUGAGCGAAGAAGGUCUUCGGAUCGUAAAGCUCUGUUGUCAGGGAAGAACAAGUACCGUUCGAACAGGGCGGUACCUUGACGGUACCUGACCAGAAAGCCACGGCUAACUACGUG